GGGAGUAUGACGUAAGGGGUAACGUACUAAGAGCACGUGCGUAAUAAACUUAGGUAUAUCGGUUCGAAUCCGGUUGCUCCCA
Molecule: transfer RNA, 82 nt
Filed under: Pediococcus pentosaceus
Lineage: Bacteria; Bacillati; Bacillota; Bacilli; Lactobacillales; Lactobacillaceae
Description: tRNA-Ile
Rfam family: tRNA
About the family: Transfer RNA (tRNA) molecules are approximately 80 nucleotides in length. Their secondary structure includes four short double-helical elements and three loops (D, anti-codon, and T loops). Further hydrogen bonds mediate the characteristic L-shaped molecular structure. tRNAs have two regions of fundamental functional importance: the anti-codon, which is responsible for specific mRNA codon recognition, and the 3' end, to which the tRNAs corresponding amino acid is attached (by aminoacyl-tRNA synthetases). tRNAs cope with the degeneracy of the genetic code in two manners: having more than one tRNA (with a specific anti-codon) for a particular amino acid; and 'wobble' base-pairing, i.e. permitting non-standard base-pairing at the 3rd anti-codon position.
Source: RNAcentral